Molecule: ribosomal RNA, 465 nt
Filed under: uncultured bacterium
Lineage: Bacteria
Description: partial 16S ribosomal RNA
Rfam family: Bacterial small subunit ribosomal RNA
Source: RNAcentral
CCUACGGGUGGCAGCAGUAGGGAAUUUUCGUCAAUGGGCGCAAGCCUGAACGAGCGAUGCCGCGUGAGUGAAGAAGGCCUUCGGGUCGUAAAGCUCUGUUGCGGGGGAAAAAAGGCAGCAUCAGGAAAUGGGUGCUGACUGAUGGUGCCCCGACAGAAAGUCAAGGCUAACUCCGUGCCAGCCGCCACGGUAAUCCGUAGGUGGCGAGCGUUAUCCGGAAGGAUUGUGAGUAAAGGGCGCGCAGUCGGUCCUGCAAGUCUGGAGUGUAACGAAUGAGCUCAACUCAUGCAUGGCUUGGGAAACUGGAGGACUGGAGAGCAGGAGAGGGCGGUGGAACUCCAGGUGUAGCGGUAAAAUGCGUAGAUAUAUGGAAGAACUCCAGUGGCGAAGGCGGCCGCCUGGCCUGUUGCUGACGCUGAGGCACGAAAGCGUGGGGAGCAAAUAGGAUUAGAUACCCGUGUAGUC